AGGUAACCCCUUCCAAGAACCUUACAUGUUCGCGAAGGGUCUCCUCCCCCAGCUUUACAUUUGCGAAGAAGAAAUUAUGCCCGUGGGAUUUUUUCCACAUGUGUUCGCGAGAAGGACCACGCGAACGCGAAGGGUAAAAUCGCUGGGCACUGAACAACCAAACACCUGCAACUUUUUGAGUUCCAAAAGCCUUCCGAAAUACAUCCAAAACACAUCCGGGCCUUCGGGGCUCCUAACCAAACAUACAUUCUAAUCAUACGAAUUUAUCUGUGCGAUCAAAUCGCUAAAAUAACCUCAAUAACAAUGAAUAAAUACUCAAAAUCAAGAACUUUUCUCAAACUUCAUCAAGUAUCAAAUUUAGCAAUUUAGGUCUGAAUCACGUCAAAUGAUAUCUGUUUUUCAUAAAAUUUCAAAAAAACAUCUUAAAUCAUAUAUAAGACCUGUAUUGGGUCCCGGAACCAAAAGUUAUUUCCCCCCGAGUUGUUUUACAAAAUGUCCUGAUCAUCUCCCAAUGACUUUAUGAUUAACUUUUAAGAUUAGGCCUAAACUGUGCGUGCAUGUCAUGUCACUAGAAUCGGCGUUGAACAAAAGCAAAAUAAAAGAGUAAAGAAAACUAAACAAAGAAGGAGACUGGAGAUAAUAAAAGACUGAAAUUGCACUAGACAAACAGUGAAACUGUUUAAACAACAAAACAAACAGUCACAACCUUAAAACAAACCUAAAAAACAUUAAACAAACCACCACGAUUAAACAAGCUAGAAAAAAUGAAAGGAUAAGAGGGUUUGACCACAAGACAAUAUCCGGAUUACAACCCUGAAAAUAACUCGGACAACAGAAAUGACAACCUAAGCCAUCAAAAGCUUCUUUUCAGAUGACCCAAAAAUGGAGCGCUUUUCCAAUCUUAGUUACUGAGCUUCGCAUCAAUCUUUCCAAGAUCACUAUCUACUUCAACAUCAUUAGCUUCAGUUAACAGGUUCCCAAGAGGAUCCCCGUGCUCCCUGUCACUGUCAUCGAUCACAAUCCACUCUUCAUUGAUCAUUCUUUCUGCUUCCCUUUUCAAAUUACAACAACUCUCAAUACUGUGCCCUCUCACAUUGGAGUGUUAUGCGCAUCGUGCAGUAGGAUCAAAGCUUCUUGCCCGUGAAUCUCGAGAUCCGGGGAGCGGCUCAAUUAAGGCAGCCUACUUUAGCCUUUCAAACAGACUUGCAUAGGAUUCUCCGAGAGGGGUGA
This 1230-nucleotide long non-coding RNA is filed under the name Nicotiana benthamiana. RNAcentral's name for it is "long non-coding RNA (NBEN_LNC004293)". The record is from RNAcentral. Lineage: Eukaryota; Viridiplantae; Streptophyta; Magnoliopsida; Solanales; Solanaceae.